CUACACGACCGUACCGCAAACCGACACUGGUGCGCGAGAUGAGUAUUCUAAGGCGCUUGAGAGAACUCAGGAGAAGGAACUCGGCUAAUUGACACCGUAACUUCGGAAGAAGGUGUGCCUUUAGUAGGUGAACCUGUACAAGGGGAGCCCAAUGAGGUUGCAAAAAAUCGGUGGCUGCGACUGUUUAAUAAAAACACAGCACUCUACAAACACGAAAGUGGACGUAUAGGGUGUGACGCCUGCCCGGUGCUGGAAGAUUAAAUGACGGGGUGCAAGCUCUUGAUUGAAGUCCCAGUAAACGGCGGCCGUAACAAUAACGGUCCUAAGGUAGCGAAAUUCCUUGUCGGGUAAGUUCCGACCUGCACGAAUGGCGUAACGAUGGCCACACUGUCUCCUCCUGAGACUCAGCGAAGUUGAAAUGUUUGUGAUGAAGCAAUCUCCCCGCGGAAAGACGGAAAGACCCCAUGAACCUUUACUGUAGCUUUGUAUUGGACUUUGAACAGAUCUGUGUAGGAUAGGUGGGAGGCUUUGAAGUGUGGUCGCUAGAUCGCAUGGAGCCAACGUUGAAAUACCACCCUGGUGUGUUUGAGGUUCUAACCUAGGCCCGUAAUCCGGGUCGGGGACAGUGCAUGGUAGGCAGUUUGACUGGGGCGGUCUCCUCCCAAAGCGUAACGGAGGAGUUCGAAGGUACGCUAGGUACGGUCGGACAUCGUGCUAAUAGUGCAAUGGCAUAAGCGUGCUUAACUGCGAGACUGACAAGUCGAGCAGAUGCGAAAGCAGGACAUAGUGAUCCGGUGGUUCUGUAUGGAAGGGCCAUCGCUCAACGGAUAAAAGGUACUCUGGGGAUAACAGGCUGAUACCGCCCAAGAGUUCAUAUCGACGGCGGUGUUUGGCACCUCGAUGUCGGCUCAUCUCAUCCUGGGGCUGUAGCCGGUCCCAAGGGUAUGGCUGUUCGCCAUUUAAAGAGGUACGUGAGCUGGGUUUAAAACGUCGUGAGACAGUUUGGUCCCUAUCUUCCGUGGGCGCUGCAGAUUUGAGGAAGCCUGCUCCUAGUACGAGAGGUCCGGAGUGGACACACCUCUGGUGUAUCGGUUGUCACGCCAGUGGCAUUGCCGAGUAGCUAUAUGUGGAAGAGAUAACCGCUGAAAGCAUCUAAGCGGGAAACUCGUUUCAAGAUGAGAUCUGCCGGGGCCUUGAGCCCCCUAAAGAGUCGUUCAAGACCAGGACGUUGAUAGGUCGGGUGUGGAAGCGCAGUAAUGCGUUAAGCUAACCGAUACUAAUUGCUCGUGCGGCUUGACCC
RNAcentral lists this ribosomal RNA (1300 nucleotides) under metagenome. RNAcentral describes it as "bacterial LSU rRNA". It matches the Rfam family "Bacterial large subunit ribosomal RNA", at positions 1634 to 2925 of the family's 2925-position model. The record is from RNAcentral.